RNAcentral lists this ribosomal RNA (773 nucleotides) under uncultured bacterium. RNAcentral describes it as "bacterial SSU rRNA". It matches the Rfam family "Bacterial small subunit ribosomal RNA", at positions 8 to 796 of the family's 1533-position model. The record is from RNAcentral.
AGAGUUUGAUCCUGGCUCAGGACGAACGCUGGCGGCGUGCUUAACACAUGCAAGUCGAACGGAAAGCGCUCUUCGGAGUGACUCGAGUGGCGAACGGGUGAGUAACACGUGGGUGAUCUGCCCUGCACUUUGGGAUAAGCCUGGGAAACUGGGUCUAAUACCGGAUAGGACUACGCGAUGCAUGUCGUGUGGUGGAAAGCUUUUGCGGUGUGGGAUGGGCCCGCGGCCUAUCAGCUUGUUGGUGGGGUGAUGGCCUACCAAGGCGACGACGGGUAGCCGGCCUGAGAGGGUGUCCGGCCACACUGGGACUGAGAUACGGCCCAGACUCCUACGGGAGGCAGCAGUGGGGAAUAUUGCACAAUGGGCGCAAGCCUGAUGCAGCGACGCCGCGUGAGGGAUGACGGCCUUCGGGUUGUAAACCUCUUUCAACAGGGACGAAGCGCGAGUGACGGUACCUGUAGAAGAAGCACCGGCCAACUACGUGCCAGCAGCCGCAGUAAUACGUAGGGUGCGAGCGUUGUCCGGAAUUACUGGGCGUAAAGAGCUCGUAGGUGGUUUGUCGCGUUGUUCGUGAAAACUCACAGCUUAACUGUGGGCGUGCGGGCGAUACGGGCAGACUGGAGUACUGCAGGGGAGACUGGAAUUCCUGGUGUAGCGGUGGAAUGCGCAGAUAUCAGGAGGAACACCGGUGGCGAAGGCGGGUCUCUGGGCAGUAACUGACGCUGAGGAGCGAAAGCGUGGGGAGCGAACAGGAUUAGAUACCCUGGUAGUCC